UGGGGAAUAUUGCACAAUGGGCGAAAGCCUGAUGCAGCGACGCCGCGUGAGGGAUGACGGCCUUCGGGUUGUAAACCUCUUUCAGUAGGGACGAAGCGCAAGUGACGGUACCUGCAGACGAAGCACCGGCUAACUACGUGCCAGCAGCCGCGGUAAUACGUAGGGUGCGAGCGUUGUCCGGAAUUACUGGGCGUAAUGAGCUCGUAGGCGGUUUGUCACGUCGUCUGUGAAAUCCUAGGGCUUAACCCUGGGCGUGCAGGCGAUACGGGCUGACUUGAGUACUACAGGGGAGGCUGGAAGUUCUGGUGGAGCGGUGGAAUACACAGGUAUCAGGAAGAACACCGAUGGCGGAGGAAGGUCUCUGGGUAGUAACUGACGCUGAGGAGCGAAAGCAUGGGUAGCGAACAGG
Molecule: ribosomal RNA, 409 nt
Filed under: bacterium
Lineage: Bacteria
Description: partial 16S ribosomal RNA
Rfam family: Bacterial small subunit ribosomal RNA
Source: RNAcentral